GGGUUGUGAGGUUAAGCGACUAAGCGUACACGGUGGAUGCCCUGGCAGUCAGAGGCGAUGAAGGACGUGCUAAUCUGCGAAAAGCGCCGGCGAGGUGAUAUGAACCUUUGACCCGGCGAUGUCCGAAUGGGGAAACCCAGUGUGAUUCGUCACACUAUCGUUAACUGAAUACAUAGGUUAACGAGGCGAACCGGGGGAACUGAAACAUCUAAGUACCCCGAGGAAAAGAAAUCAACCGAGAUUCCCCCAGUAGCGGCGAGCGAACGGGGAGCAGCCCAGAGUCUGAAUCAGCUUGUGUGUUAGUGGAACGGUCUGGAAAGUCCGGCGAUACAGGGUGACAGCCCCGUACACGAAAGCACACAGGUUGUGAACUCGAAGAGUAGGGCGGGACACGUGGUAUCCUGUCUGAAUAUGGGGGGACCAUCCUCCAAGGCUAAAUACUCCUGACUGACCGAUAGUGAACCAGUACCGUGAGGGAAAGGCGAAAAGAACCCCGGCGAGGGGAGUGAAAAAGAACCUGAAACCGUGUACGUACAAGCAGUGGGAGCACCUUCGUGGUGUGACUGCGUACCUUUUGUAUAAUGGGUCAGCGACUUAUAUUCUGUAGCAAGGUUAACCGUAUAGGGGAGCCGAAGGGAAACCGAGUCUUAACUGGGCGUUAAGUUGCAGGGUAUAGACCCGAAACCCGGUGAUCUAGCCAUGGGCAGGUUGAAGGUUGGGUAACACUAACUGGAGGACCGAACCGACUAAUGUUGAAAAAUUAGCGGAUGACUUGUGGCUGGGGGUGAAAGGCCAAUCAAACCGGGAGAUAGCUGGUUCUCCCCGAAAGCUAUUUAGGUAGCGCCUCGUGAACUCAUCUUCGGGGGUAGAGCACUGUUUCGGCUAGGGGGCCAUCCCGGCUUACCAACCCGAUGCAAACUACGAAUACCGAAGAAUGUUAUCACGGGAGACACACGGCGGGUGCUAACGUCCGUCGUGAAGAGGGAAACAACCCAGACCGCCAGCUAAGGUCCCAAAGUCAUGGUUAAGUGGGAAACGAUGUGGGAAGGCACAGACAGCCAGGAUGUUGGCUUAGAAGCAGCCAUCAUUUAAAGAAAGCGUAAUAGCUCACUGGUCGAGUCGGCCUGCGCGGAAGAUGUAACGGGGCUAAACCAUGCACCGAAGCUGCGGCAGCGACGCUUAGGCGUUGUUGGGUAGGGGAGCGUUCUGUAAGCCGUUGAAGGUGUGCUGUGAGGCAUGCUGGAGGUAUCAGAAGUGCGAAUGCUGACAUAAGUAACGAUAAAGCGGGUGAAAAGCCCGCUCGCCGGAAGACCAAGGGUUCCUGUCCAACGUUAAUCGGGGCAGGGUGAGUCGACCCCUAAGGCGAGGCCGAAAGGCGUAGUCGAUGGGAAACAGGUUAAUAUUCCUGUACUUGGUGUUACUGCGAAGGGGGGACGGAGAAGGCUAUGUUAGCCGGGCGACGGUUGUCCCGGUUUAAGCAUGUAGGCGGAACGAUUAGGUAAAUCCGGUCGUUUAUUAACGCUGAGGUGUGAUGACGAGGCACUACGGUGCUGAAGUAACAAAUGCCCUGCUUCCAGGAAAAGCCUCUAAGCAUCAGGUAACAUCAAAUCGUACCCCAAACCGACACAGGUGGUCAGGUAGAGAAUACCAAGGCGCUUGAGAGAACUCGGGUGAAGGAACUAGGCAAAAUGGUGCCGUAACUUCGGGAGAAGGCACGCUGAUAUGUAGGUGAAGCCCCUGCGGGUGGAGCUGAAAUCAGUCGAAGAUACCAGCUGGCUGCAACUGUUUAUUAAAAACACAGCACUGUGCAAACACGAAAGUGGACGUAUACGGUGUGACGCCUGCCCGGUGCCGGAAGGUUAAUUGAUGGGGUUAGCGGUAACGCGAAGCUCUUGAUCGAAGCCCCGGUAAACGGCGGCCGUAACUAUAACGGUCCUAAGGUAGCGAAAUUCCUUGUCGGGUAAGUUCCGACCUGCACGAAUGGCGUAAUGAUGGCCAGGCUGUCUCCACCCGAGACUCAGUGAAAUUGAACUCGCUGUGAAGAUGCAGUGUACCCGCGGCAAGACGGAAAGACCCCGUGAACCUUUACUAUAGCUUGACACUGAACACUGGUCCUUGAUGUGUAGGAUAGGUGGGAGGCUUUGAAGCGUGGACGCCAGUCUGCGUGGAGCCGACCUUGAAAUACCACCCUUUAAUGGCUGGUGUUCUAACGUAGACCCGUAAUCCGGGUUGCGGACAGUGUCUGGUGGGUAGUUUGACUGGGGCGGUCUCCUCCCAAAGAGUAACGGAGGAGCACGAAGGUUAGCUAAUCCUGGUCGGACAUCAGGAGGUUAGUGCAAUGGCAUAAGCUAGCUUGACUGCGAGAGUGACGGCUCGAGCAGGUGCGAAAGCAGGUCAUAGUGAUCCGGUGGUUCUGAAUGGAAGGGCCAUCGCUCAACGGAUAAAAGGUACUCCGGGGAUAACAGGCUGAUACCGCCCAAGAGUUCAUAUCGACGGCGGUGUUUGGCACCUCGAUGUCGGCUCAUCACAUCCUGGGGCUGAAGUAGGUCCCAAGGGUAUGGCUGUUCGCCAUUUAAAGUGGUACGCGAGCUGGGUUUAGAACGUCGUGAGACAGUUCGGUCCCUAUCUGCCGUGGGCGCUGGAGAAUUGAGGGGGGCUGCUCCUAGUACGAGAGGACCGGAGUGGACGCAUCACUGGUGUUCGGGUUGUCAUGCCAAUGGCACUGCCCGGUAGCUAAAUGCGGAAAAGAUAAGUGCUGAAAGCAUCUAAGCACGAAACUUGCCCCGAGAUGAGUUCUCCCUGACCCUUUAAGGGUCCUGAAGGAACGUUGAAGACUACGACGUUGAUAGGUCGGGUGUGUAAGCGCAGCGAUGCGUUGAGCUAACCGAUACUAAUGAACCGUGAGGCUUAACCUUGCAACGCCGAAGCUGUU
Molecule: ribosomal RNA, 2932 nt
Filed under: Enterobacter cloacae
Lineage: Bacteria; Pseudomonadati; Pseudomonadota; Gammaproteobacteria; Enterobacterales; Enterobacteriaceae
Description: 23S ribosomal RNA
Rfam family: Bacterial large subunit ribosomal RNA
Source: RNAcentral